Molecule: ribosomal RNA, 301 nt
Filed under: uncultured bacterium
Lineage: Bacteria
Description: partial 16S ribosomal RNA
Rfam family: Bacterial small subunit ribosomal RNA
Source: RNAcentral
CAGUAGCCGCGGGAAUACGAAGGGGGCUAGCGUUGUUCGGAAUCACUGGGCGUAAAGCGCACGUAGGCGGAUUUUUAAGUCAGGGGUGAAAUCCCGAGGCUCAACCUCGGAACUGCCUUUGAUACUGGAAAUCUUGAGUCCGGGAGAGGUGAGUGGAACUGCGAGUGUAGAGGUGAAAUUCGUAGAUAUUCGCAAGAACACCAGUGGCGAAGGCGGCUCACUGGCCCGGAACUGACGCUGAGGUGCGAAAGCGUGGGGAGCAAACAGGAUUAGAUACCCCUGUAGUCCCUGUCUCUUAUAC